GGCAACCCUCCUGGGAUAUUCUUCUGCAGUGUGGAAGCUUUGUUCUUUCGCUCUUUGCAAUAAAUCUUGCUACUGCUCACUCUUUGGGUCCACGCUUUUUUUAUGAGCUGUAACACUCACCGCCAAGGUCUGCAGCUUUACUUCUGAGCCAGCGAAACCACGAACCCACCAGAAAGAAGAAACUCCUAACACAUCCGGCCAUCAGAAGGAACAAACUCCAGACGCGCCACCUUAAGAGCUGUAAUGUAACACUCACCGCGAGGGUCCGCGGCUUCAUUGUUGAAGUCAGUGAGACCGAGAACCCACCAAUUCCGGACACACUGGGAGCAAGGGGCCACCAGGUUGCUUAAGGAGGGGUGAACUGACUCAGGUCAAAAACGGAGCAGUUCAAAACUCCCGUUCUGAUCAGUAGUGGAACCGCACCUGUGAGUAAUCACCGUACUGCAGAAUGGGCAACAUAGUGAGACCCCCAUGUCUAAAAAUAAUAAUUAAAAAUUUAAAAAGAAAAGGAUUUCCUGUGGAGGAUUUUCAAAAUACACUGGCCUAGGUUUCUGUCCCAGAGAUUUGGAUCUGGGCCAGGGCCCAGGUGUGUAUUUGAGGGGUAAUAAAUGAAAUUAAUACAUGUACAGUGCUUAGAAGGGCUCACAUUAUCAUGCAAAAAAUGUUAGCUCUGUUAUUCAUUGUUAUCCAAAAAGUCUAUUGAGUAUCUACUCUGUGCAGCACCGGAAAUACACUGAUAAGCCCACAUCUCUGCUCUUUCAGAGCUUACAACGUGCAGAGGAAAAAACAAACAACAAAAAAUAAAAAAAAAAAAUUGAAACUAGCAAAUUCAAAGAGUGCUAUAUCCAGUCUGCCCUCAAACCCCUGCCUUUUCUGCCUCCUAGGACUAUCCUCUUCUCUCCUCCCACUGCCACUGUCCUGGUCCAGGCCGCCAUCACCUCUCACCAGGAUGGCUCCAACAGCUCCCAAUUUUCUCUGCCUGCAGCCUUGCAGCUUUCCUCACAAUGCAACCAGAGGGAUUGUCUAAAAGGCGCAUCUUCCUCCUCUCCUGCCAGUUUCCAAAUCUCUUCUCCAAGUGUGCUGCCGGCAAAUUAAACAAGACAACCAACCCAGGCUGGAGUAGAUCUUGCGGGUUUCUUUCAUCAACAUCACACCUCAUUAGGUUGAUUUGUGUGUUUCCAGAGUUGCCUGUGCUGGGUGAGUGUGUGUAUUUUGAACACCAUCUAGUGGACAAUAGGGCAAUUUAUUUCCAGGCUAUGGAAUGAACUCCCCAAGCCCUAGUCAAUCUUUCGAACUUCAAAGAUUUAAUAAGUAGCCAGAUUUUAAAAGCAAAGAUUGUUCUUGACCCCAUAACAAGAUCAGAGUCAAAGGCAACUUGCAGCCUGCUUCAGAAGCUCCACUCUGCCAAUAGGCCAGAGGGAAAGGAGGAGUAGGGUGGUGCCAAAUAGAGGUAACUUUGGCCGUUAAGAUCCUUUUGUCCUCACCCCAGAUGCUGGUUCCUUGCUCUCCCUGUAGCUUCAGAUUCUCAGCUGGUUUCCCAUCCCUUUUCCUAAAAGGACAACAGCCCUGCCUAGCAGAUUUCAAAUUUCAGUCUACCAAGCACUGCUAUUUCGCUCUCUCUCUCUCUUUUGUCUUUUUUUAAAGAGACGGAGUCUCACUCUGUCACCCAGGCUGGAGUGCAGUGGCACAAUCACAAUUCAUUGCAGCCCUGAGCUCAAGCCAUCCUCCCACCUCAACCUCUGGGACUACAGGCCCAUGCCACCAUGACUACCUAACUUUUUAAAAUUUUUUGUAGAAUGGUUGGGUGUGGUAGCCCACAUCUGUAAUCUCAGCACUUUGGGAGGGCAAGC
RNAcentral lists this long non-coding RNA (1850 nucleotides) under Homo sapiens (human). Its description in RNAcentral is "HSALNT0298742". Lineage: Eukaryota; Metazoa; Chordata; Mammalia; Primates; Hominidae. The record is from RNAcentral.